Molecule: long non-coding RNA, 298 nt
Filed under: Homo sapiens (human)
Lineage: Eukaryota; Metazoa; Chordata; Mammalia; Primates; Hominidae
Description: HSALNT0402911
Source: RNAcentral
CUCUUCUCUCUCUCUGUCCUGCUCUGCCAUGGUAGAUGUGCUUGCUUUCCCUUUGCCUUCUGCCAUGAUUGUAAGUUUCCUAAGGUUUUCCAGCCAUGCUUCCUGUACAGCCUGCAGAACUGCUCUUUCCUUUAUAAAAUACCCAGUCUCAGGCCUGUUAUUUGAUGAAGAUGAUAUAAAUAGAAGCAGAGCAGCACAUAGUGUGACCACGAAAGGCCAAAGAGCACAUACUGGAGACCUGAAUGUCAACCAAACUGCAUAAUCCCUGUUUAUCUUCAUUGUAGAAAUUGCCAUAACC